This 486-nucleotide ribosomal RNA is filed under the name uncultured bacterium. RNAcentral describes it as "partial 16S ribosomal RNA". It matches the Rfam family "Bacterial small subunit ribosomal RNA", at positions 28 to 507 of the family's 1533-position model. The record is from RNAcentral.
GAUGAACGCUGGCGGCGUGCCUAAUACAUGCAAGUCGAACGCUGGAGAUCUAGCUUGCUAGCUCGAAGGAGUGGCGAACGGGUGAGUAAUACAUAAGCAACCUACCCACGAAGACUGGGAUAAUCUCUGGAAACGGGGACUAAUACCGGAUAGGUAAUCGGAAGGCAUCUUCUGGUUAUUAAAGGUUAAAAACACUGGUGGAUGGGCUUAUGGCGCAUUAGUUAGUUGGUGAGGUAACGGCCCACCAAGACGAUGAUGCGUAGCCGGCCUGAGAGGGUGAACGGCCACAUUGGGACUGCGACACGGCCCAGACUCCUACGGGAGGCAGCAGUAGGGAAUUUUCGGCAAUGGGGGCAACCCUGACCGAGCAACGCCGCGUGAGUGAAGACGGCCUUCGGGUUGUAAAGCUCUGUUGUAAGGGAAGAACGGUAGAUAGAGAAUAUCUAAGUGACGGUACCUUACCAGAAAGCCACGGCUAACUACGUG